UUAUUCUGUCUCUUUCUUGCUGGCCGGCGAUUGAGCAUGGACGUGUCUAGCUGUCCUCUCUCCAUCUUUCGAAUUCACGCUAGACAGCUCACAUCAACAUACCGAUGUCUCAGCAACCAUGUUCUCACACACAGAAGACGUCUCAACAACCAAGAGUAAAGCUGUAUAUUUUCCACCAUAAAUAAAUAUUGUUGAGUUGAUAGUUUGGAGUUCUGCGUUCCGUUCAUUCUAAUUUAAUAUGGGAAAGCAGGUGUACAUCUAAUGAUGUAUAACCCACUUUCCUAUAUGUCCAUACUAUUGAUGAUAACAUGUAGCCAAAUGCAGUGAACAGCAUACUACCAGGUACAAGGCCUGAAAUUUUUUUUGGUGGGGGGGCAGUCGAUUAGAUCGACUGGAGUACGCAACCGGUACUUAAAUCAUUGACCCCGAAAGGAUGAAAAGCAAAGUUGACCUCGGCAGAAUUUGAACUCAGAAUGUACUGCUAAGAAUUUUACCUGGCGUGCUAAUGUUUCUGCCAGCUCACCGCCUUCAAACUGAAGUAAUAUUAAGGAAACAAAUCACUUACCUGAACUAUUUUCUGGCAUAUUGUAACAUUGCUGGACAAAAUUGCAAGGGCUCCAGCUGCUGCAAGUGCUGUUGGUUGAUCUUCAUUGGAAGUGAAAAGUAACAAUAAUUUCACUCUAUCAUUUUCUCCUUCAAACAGUUUUGCCACCUGAAGAAGAAUAUGAUAAUAAAAAUAUGCUACAGAAAAGGAUCUACUAUUAAAAUAUAAGCAGCAUAUUUCAAUGUAAUUGCCAUCCACAUCAAAACCACUGAUAUAUCAUAAUACCCUUACAAAAAAGGCUAUCAGUCGACUAAAAUGUUAGAUAACUUUUUGAUCAAAGCUCUGAAAUCCAGAUGUAUGUAUGUAAACCUUUUUGUAUAAAACUUGAUAUAGAAUAUUGCACCAAUUUCUCAAUUAAAUGCAUUAAUUUGAUGCAGCUCUAGUAACGUGUUGUGCUACUAGACAAAAGAUAAAACAUGUUUUCUCUAACCAUUGUUAAGCUAUUUUCAAACAACAUGUGGCUAUCACUUAUUCAUCUAGUUAUAAGCAACACCAUAGGUAGAUACUGCUCAGUUCUGUAUGGAGGAAUCAGUGAACAAUUAACAAGUGUUAUAUAAACUGGCUGUGUCAAGUUUCAAAUUCUAUAUAUCGUCUUGUAGAAGACAAUAUAAGUCUUCUCAAUUACUCAAAUCACAAGAGUCUAAUUAUUGACUUAGUCAGCCUUACAACAGUAAGGUAAGCUACAACAGACCAUAAUAAAUGUAUUUAUUAAUAAUGAGAUUCAACAUAAGUGAGGAGGAAUAGAGUCCACCGCUCGAUUGUAUUUCUAAAUGACACCAAAAAGAUAUUAAAGAUGAAAAUAAA
Long non-coding RNA from Octopus bimaculoides (California two-spot octopus), 1408 nucleotides. NCBI's taxonomy places the organism in Eukaryota, Metazoa, Mollusca, Cephalopoda, Octopoda, Octopodidae. The record is from RefSeq and is a predicted model, not a curated record.